CAUAUAUAAUAUAUAUGUGUGUGUGUACACACACACACAUAUAUACACACACACACAACAAGUUGCAGAAGGGGAAGGGAGUGGAGGGGUUAAUCUUGGGGAAUCUUCUGCACUUAGCAAGAUCGUGACCCUCCCACACAGUACAGUAACUUAUAUACAUACCUGGAGGAAGGGAUGCUUUGCUUUGGGCUUCCUAAAAAUAUUUGGUGAUGGCUGAACCCUCCAACAUGCUCAUAGGACCGGACUCUGAUGCACCCACAAAGGCUGGCCUAGACGAGCAUCUGCUAAAGGCUACUCGAAGGUUCAGGAUUCUAGUCAAUGGAACAAGAGGAAGACUCGAGUGCCUGUAAGACCAGGUCCCUUUGAUGAGGCUGCAGCUAACCCAGAGAAGGAGGGUCGUCUUCUCCUGAGUUGUUGUAUCCUUCACGGUUUUUCUACUUGCAGAUCUUCUCAAAGACUCCCCAAGCCUGGCACUGAAGGGAAUUACAUUUACAGACCACUCCACUGUAUAUUUUUCAUCAGCUCAUCUGAGCAGACCAGACUACCUGCAAAUUACAUAUGAGAUUUCAAUAGGCAAAGUAUAUUCUUAUACGUGUGUUUGCAUGCGCGUGCACCCACACCAGCAUUUUGGGGACACCUGAUUCAAAGCAG
RNAcentral lists this long non-coding RNA (651 nucleotides) under Chrysemys picta bellii (western painted turtle). RNAcentral describes it as "lncRNA (ENSCPBG00000012570.1)". Lineage: Eukaryota; Metazoa; Chordata; Testudines; Emydidae. The record is from RNAcentral.